UCAACAUUGAAUAACACAAUUAAAUUUUGCUUCUUCUCUCUCUAUCAUCUGAAGAUAAUUUUGGUCAUUCCAUGGAAAUCGAUGAUCUUCACAUGGUAUCAGAGCAGGGAUUCAGAUUCCGCUCGUCACUGGCUUCGUCGCGAUGUUACCCUCAUCGUUUUUCGUCGGAGUUUCUGUGCUCUCUGGCAAAUCUAGAUUUUUCUCGUUUUCUCUGGAUAUUCUUCGGUAAUUGUUGAUUUCUCUGAGUUUCACACUUCCUCUCGUCAGUUCAAACAUAAGAGUAAGUCGAUUCCUAAUGUUUUGUGUAUCUAGGAGCAGUUAGGGUUUGUAUCUUACAAGUUUCAAGCCCGAUAACGUUUCUCAGUCGAAAAUGGUUAAUGUUGGUGAUACCUCUGAGUCUAGGAUUGAUAAUUUCGUAAUUACCCC
Molecule: long non-coding RNA, 426 nt
Filed under: Nicotiana benthamiana
Lineage: Eukaryota; Viridiplantae; Streptophyta; Magnoliopsida; Solanales; Solanaceae
Description: long non-coding RNA (NBEN_LNC032890)
Source: RNAcentral